AACAUAAUAUAUAAUUCAGAAACUGAUGUCAAAUGUCAAAUGUCAAUAGUGUAUGCAUGUAUAUCCAAGAUGAUGACCUCGAUUAAAAAUACGAAUUAUUCAGAUGGGAAACAAACAAAAAAAUGAAAAGCAAUGCAUUUAUGUCGUAUUGGAUAUCAAGAGCAUUGGACGUACUGAAAAGGUCAAAGUUUUUGUUAACUAUAUGAACAAGGGGACCAAUGAUUUUUUUUUUAUUUUGAAGAUGCGUCACUCUGCUUUAAUUCACAAACACAGAAAAUAAUACUUUUUAAGAAUAACAUACAUGCACGCUUUCUCAAAAAUAUAA
This 325-nucleotide long non-coding RNA is filed under the name Mytilus galloprovincialis (Mediterranean mussel). Lineage: Eukaryota; Metazoa; Mollusca; Bivalvia; Mytilida; Mytilidae. The record is from RNAcentral.